This is a non-coding RNA of Daedaleopsis nitida, 91 nucleotides long. NCBI's taxonomy places the organism in Eukaryota, Fungi, Basidiomycota, Agaricomycetes, Polyporales, Polyporaceae. The record is from the annotation of a GenBank genome assembly.
GACACUAUGGCCGAGUGGUUAAGGCGACAGAUUCGAAUUUGAUGACAUCUGUUUCCCUCUGGGAGCGCAGGUUCAAGUCCUGCUGGUGUCG